Molecule: ribosomal RNA, 207 nt
Filed under: uncultured bacterium
Lineage: Bacteria
Description: partial 16S ribosomal RNA
Rfam family: Bacterial small subunit ribosomal RNA
Source: RNAcentral
UGCGUAGGUGGCGCUGUAAGUGGGGUGUGAAAUCCCGGGGCUUAACUCCGGAACUGCAUUCCAUACUGCGGUGCUUGAGGACUGGAGAGGAGACUGGAAUUUACGGUGUAGCAGUGAAAUGCGUAGAGAUCGUAAGGAAGACCAGUGGCGAAGGCGGGUCUCUGGACAGUUCCUGACACUGAGGCACGAAGGCCAGGGAGGCAAACG